CUUUAAGAAGAAAAGAAAGGAUAGUGGGGAGACAUCUGAGCAGAGGAAGAAAUGGGGUGAGCAGGACACCCACCCUCAGAGGAGGCCCUCACUGGAGGCGUCUGCACAGGAGAACACUUGCACUCAGCUUGCCCUGGGGCGUUAGAACUCAGAAUUCAGUUUCAAAGCUAAAGCACUGACAGGAGCAGUGACUGGGGACCCCAGGUUGAAUCCCCCCUUUAUCUAAAAUGAGUAAGAACAAAAAAACCAAAAGUGUUUGGGAUUUGGAAUCUGGACUAUUUGCAUCUACAUAAGAGGUCUUGGGAGGAAACCCAGUUCUAACCCUGAAAUUCAUCAGUUUCCUAUACUGCUGACUCCACAGGGGCUGAAGGUAAUCUCAAUGUUUUCAUAACUGGUGUGGUGCCACUUGCUCAUGAUCCCAACACUUGGAAGGGAACAAAGUUCGUGCACAUUGAACUGUCGACCGUGUAGUACAGGAUCCGCUCCAGGGAGCUAAAGAUUUUGAGAUGUUUCAUGUUGCAGCUACUCUGAUGAACAGUAUUGCUUUCCGGGCCAGAUACUGUAAGAGGAAGAGAAAACGCAGCCACAUCAAAAGAGUGUAAAUCAACGAGAAAACCAGAAACAACUCAAGAGAUGGCUGCAGGGGCCUGAAUUAUGUUCUCAGAACCUGCAUCAAGCCAAGAGAAUCAAAACUGUAACUCCAGCUCCCUGGGAUCCAGCACCCAUUUCUGGCCUCCAUCAGCAUCACUCACAGAAGCCACGUGAGCCUUCCACAGCCAAGCUCAGACCCAGCAUCUCCAAGUUCAAGGCUUCCGGGUGAAGGGGCAUUGCUGUACACAACAUGGGCUAACCUCCAAAAUGUGAGGCAAGACACCCGAUAAGAACAAGAGUCUGUAAACUGAGCUAGAACAUAGCUCAGUGGUACAAUGUUGGGUUUAAUCCCCAGAACUUCCAGGCUGGGGCAAGGCAUGGGGACAGAAAAAAGACUUUAUAAUUCAUUUUUGCAAAACAAAAAGCUGGGAGAAGGGGCCAGCAAGAUGGCUAAGCAGGUGAAGAAGCUUGCUGCCAAGGCCAAGGGCCUGAGUUUGAUCCCUGAAACCCACAUGGUAAAAUAAAAGAACUGACACUUGCGAGUUGUUCUCUCACCUCUA
Non-coding RNA from Mus caroli (Ryukyu mouse), 1151 nucleotides. The record is from RefSeq and is a predicted model, not a curated record. NCBI's taxonomy places the organism in Eukaryota, Metazoa, Chordata, Mammalia, Rodentia, Muridae.